GGACUACCAGGGUAUCUAAUCCCGUUUGCUCCCCUGGCCUUCGUGCCUCAGCGUCAGGAACUGUCCAGAGAUCCGCCUUCGCCACUGGCCUUCCUCACGAUAUCUACGCAUUUCACUGCUACACCGUGAAUUCCGAUCUCCUCUCCAGUCCUCGAGCAAAGCAGUAUCAAAUGCAGUUCCGGGGUUGAGCCCCGGGAUUUCACAUCUGACUUGCUUCGCCGCCUACGCACCCUUUACGCCCAAUGAAUCCGAACAACGCUUGAGACCUCUGUAUUACCGCGGCGGCUGGC
RNAcentral lists this ribosomal RNA (290 nucleotides) under uncultured Verrucomicrobiota bacterium. Its description in RNAcentral is "uncultured Verrucomicrobia bacterium partial 16S ribosomal RNA". The record is from RNAcentral. Lineage: Bacteria; Pseudomonadati; Verrucomicrobiota.